This is a non-coding RNA of Vicia faba (fava bean), 279 nucleotides long. NCBI's taxonomy places the organism in Eukaryota, Viridiplantae, Streptophyta, Magnoliopsida, Fabales, Fabaceae. The record is from the annotation of a GenBank genome assembly.
AUGUACUUCCACCCUCUUGGAUCUUGCCGCUGGCCCUACGCCAUCCCCUCUUCCACCCACUUUACUUUCUCUCCAUGUAACUAUUGUGACUCAACUUUAGUGCUGUACUGCAAAGCAGACUUUGAAAGUUGUGCCUGGUGGGCAAACAGAUCAUGCGCUGACACUGUCUCUCUUUCUCGAGUACAUUACCAGAUUAGUGACAACUGCAAAAAUGACACCUCUUCAAUUCGCUGCAUCACCGCCAUAAUGGCAAUGCAGAUUUAUUCACAACCGCCAUAA